CAAAAUUUAGGGUUAUUUAUGGAUAAUUUGGGUAAAUAUUGACAGGAGUAUUAUGGAUAAUUUGGGUAAAAAUUUGGCAGCUCAUUGAUACUCUAUUUUGUGACUGUCGAAAACCGGGCAGUGCCCGAGCGAGUAAAAAGGUGUGGUCGGAAUGGGCAUAUACAAAUGGCAUAUUUUUCCUUGUUAUGGUGAUACUAGUCAUAAACGUGAUUGACGUUGGCUUGUUAUUUGGUUGUCAUUCGUACUUGAUUGUGAUCGGUCGAACAACAUGGGAGCACAUGGCUCACUCGAGAAUCUCGUAUCUCAAGAUCUUCAAAGAGGGAGUGAAUCCAUUUCACGAGGGAUAUUUCAAAAAUGUUUGCACGUUUCUGUGUCAUUGUCGUGUACGCAAAUGGGAAAAGGUCUUUCAAAGAAGUAGUAUUAAUUUAGGAGUAUGACAUUAAUGUGACAUUAAUGUGACUGUCGUUUUCAAAAUUUGGCAAACUCCAUGAGAGCUCUUUGCCAUGUAAUAGAUGGUGGACCACCU
Molecule: non-coding RNA, 526 nt
Organism: Paramuricea clavata
Lineage: Eukaryota; Metazoa; Cnidaria; Anthozoa; Malacalcyonacea; Plexauridae
Source: the annotation of a GenBank genome assembly